Molecule: long non-coding RNA, 414 nt
Filed under: Triticum aestivum (bread wheat)
Lineage: Eukaryota; Viridiplantae; Streptophyta; Magnoliopsida; Poales; Poaceae
Description: long non-coding RNA (TAES_LNC025235)
Source: RNAcentral
GCCUGCUCAUAUAUCGAUAUUGAUUCAGCAAUUCUCAGGAUAGCAUGAAACCUAUUCUUUUAUUCUGCUAGAAUUGACUAACCAGCAUUAAAAUUCGUAAUUGUAACCAAAUUACGUAUGUGUUCCUAUAAAAAAAGAGAGAGAACAAUGCAUUUCAGCAUGUAUGUCUCGGCUCCUAUAAAAAAGAGAGAGAACAAUGCAUUUCAGCAUGUAUGUCUCAGUGUGGCGUGCUGUAGCGGAUCACAAUAUUCUUCUAGGUACGUAUGAUAAGUUGCACAAGCAUCUCUGUACUGCUUUUCGCAUAUAUCUUUGUUUUCUUCUACUGUAAUGUCGUCGGUAACUGUUUGCUCUAUUUCUUUCCUAUCUGUAGCGCGCUUCUCUUUUGAUUCCAUGCUUCAAUCAAAUCAAAUCGAC